Molecule: ribosomal RNA, 482 nt
Filed under: uncultured bacterium
Lineage: Bacteria
Description: partial 16S ribosomal RNA
Rfam family: Bacterial small subunit ribosomal RNA
Source: RNAcentral
AUUGAACGCUGGCGGCAGGCCUAACACAUGCAAGUCGAGCGGAUGAAGGGAGCUUGCUCCUGGAUUCAGCGGCGGACGGGUGAGUAAUGCCUAGGAAUCUGCCUGGUAGUGGGGGAUAACGUCCGGAACGGGCGCUAAUACCGCAUACGUCCUGAGGGAGAAAGUGGGGGAUCUUCGGACCUCACGCUAUCAGAUGAGCCUAGGUCGGAUUAGCUAGUUGGUGGGGUAAAGGCCUACCAAGGCGACGAUCCGUAACUGGUCUGAGAGGAUGAUCAGUCACACUGGAACUGAGACACGGUCCAGACUCCUACGGGAGGCAGCAGUGGGGAAUAUUGGACAAUGGGCGAAAGCCUGAUCCAGCCAUGCCGCGUGUGUGAAGAAGGUCUUCGGAUUGUAAAGCACUUUAAGUUGGGAGGAAGGGCAGUAAGUUAAUACCUUGCUGUUUUGACGUUACCAACAGAAUAAGCACCGGCUAACUUCGU